Molecule: long non-coding RNA, 533 nt
Filed under: Elaeis guineensis (African oil palm)
Lineage: Eukaryota; Viridiplantae; Streptophyta; Magnoliopsida; Arecales; Arecaceae
Description: long non-coding RNA (EGUI_LNC009974)
Source: RNAcentral
GAUCUGAUAAGUGUUAUUUUGUUGGAUAUCCAAAAGAAACUAAGAGAUAUUACUUUUAACUUACUGAAGAACAAAAGAUGUUUGUCAGCAAUAAGGCAUGCUUUUAGAAAAGAAGUUUCUUAGUGAAGGAACUGAUGCCACUAAGAUUGAACUUGAUAAAGUUUGAUUGGUAGAAGAGUCGAUAUAAACAAUUGUAUCUAUAGAAUUGAAUUUGAUUAGAUCAAAUUCAGAGCCCAUUAUAGAGGCACUCUUAAGGAGAUCCAAUAGAGUACCAUGUUAAUCGGACAGAUACUAUAAUUUUUUGAUCUGAGACGAUGAUCUUGUUGAACUCAAUGAGAACAAUGAGGAUCCGAUCACCUAUAUGGAUGCCAUAUGAAGGAGGAAAACCACUUUUCCUCAUAGGAUCUUCCAGAUUUUACCAAAUCUGGGGUGGAAUAAAUUUAAAAAUUUCUUAUCCUAUAUGUAUUUCAGAUCUAAAUCUCUAGAUCUAAUCUUAUUAUCUAAUAUUUCAAAUCUAAAAUUAAAUCUAAAAC